GCGGCGUGCUUAACACAUGCAAGUCGAACGAAGUGGCGAACGGGUGAGUAACACGUGAGUAACUGCCCUUGACUCUGGGAUAACCUCCGGAAACGGAAGCUAAUACCGGAUAAGGACGGACUCGCGGCCUAUCAGGUAGUUGGUGAGGUAACGGCUCACCAAGCCUACGGCGGGUAGCCGGCCUGAGAGGGGACCGGCCACACUGGGCUGAGACACGGCCCAGACUCCUACGGGAGGCAGCAGUGGGGAAUAUUGCACAAUGGGCGCAAGCCUGAUGCAGCAACGCCGCGUGAGGGAUGACGGCCUUCGGGUUGUAAACCUCUUUUAGUAGGGAAGCGGUACCUGCAGAAAAAGCACCGGCUAACUACGUGCCAGCAGCCGCGGUAAUACGUAGGGUGCGAGCGUUGUCCGGAAUUAUUGGGCGUAAAGAGCUCGUAGGCGGUCUGUCGCGUCUGCUGUGAAAACCCGAGGCUCAACCUCGGGCCUGCAGUGGGUACGGGCAGACUAGAGUGCGGUAGGGGAGAAUGGAAUUCCUGGUGUAGCGGUGGAAUGCGCAGAUAUC
This 562-nucleotide ribosomal RNA is filed under the name uncultured bacterium. Its description in RNAcentral is "bacterial SSU rRNA". It matches the Rfam family "Bacterial small subunit ribosomal RNA", at positions 39 to 698 of the family's 1533-position model. The record is from RNAcentral.